Molecule: ribosomal RNA, 465 nt
Filed under: uncultured bacterium
Lineage: Bacteria
Description: partial 16S ribosomal RNA
Rfam family: Bacterial small subunit ribosomal RNA
Source: RNAcentral
GACGAACGCUGGCGGCGUGCUUAACACAUGCAAGUCGAACGGAAAGGCCCCUUUGGGGGUACUCGAGUGGCUAACGGGUGAGUAACACGUGAGUAACCUGCCCUUGACUUCGGGAUAACUUCAGGAAACUGGGGCUAAUACCGGAUAGGAAUCCUUGCUGCAUGGUGGGGGUUGGAAAGCUUCGUCGGUUGUGGAUGGACUAGCGGCUUAUCAGCUUGUUGGUGGGGUAGUGGCUUACCAAGGCGUUGACGGGUAGCCGGCCUGAGAGGGCGACCGGCCACAUUGGGACUGAGAGACGGCCCAGACGCCGACGGGAGGCAGAAGGGGGGAAUACUGAACGAGGGGCGGAAGCCUGAUGCAGCAACGCCGCGGGCGGGAUGACGGCCUUCGGGUUGUAAACCGCGUUCAGCAGGGGCGAAGCUUGUGGUGACGGUACCUUAAGAAGAAGCACCGGCUAACUACGUG